UCGAAUGUGGAUUUAUCUCUUUGGUUAUCUAGCUGUAUGAGUAGCUAAAGUAGUUAAUAGUUCAUAAAGCUAGGUUACCGAAGUUAUAAUCGCAUUUCA
RNAcentral lists this microRNA precursor (99 nucleotides) under Rhodnius prolixus. Its description in RNAcentral is "microRNA miR-9 precursor". The stretch from base 9 to 93 matches the Rfam family "mir-9/mir-79 microRNA precursor family". From Rfam's summary of the family: The mature ~21nt miRNAs are processed from hairpin precursor sequences represented here. miR-9 is processed from the 5' arm of its precursor, and miR-79 from the 3' arm. The bounds of the precursors are predicted based on conservation and base pairing and are not generally known. Lineage: Eukaryota; Metazoa; Arthropoda; Insecta; Hemiptera; Reduviidae. The record is from RNAcentral.